Arabidopsis thaliana (thale cress) is the source of this 686-nucleotide long non-coding RNA. RefSeq annotates it as other RNA. NCBI's taxonomy places the organism in Eukaryota, Viridiplantae, Streptophyta, Magnoliopsida, Brassicales, Brassicaceae. The transcript has 2 exons. The record is from RefSeq.
GAAGAGUCCAAAGAUGGCUUGAAACGCGCCAGCGAAAAACGUGACAGUGAAGACAAUUUUUCGGUAAGCAAUUGGGUCGGUGACUGGAUCUUGAAGGUCACGAACCAUUGACGACAGAAGAAGCGAAACUACAGCCACAGGACCAAUGGCUAACUCUCUCGAAGUUCCCAUCGUCGAAUAUAUCAGAGUUGGUGGAUAAAGUUACCUGAGGAAUGCAAAGACUAGCGAGAGUGAGACCUGCCAUCAAAUCUUUCUUGAACAAGUUGAGUUUGUAUUGUCUUCCCCAACUAAGUAUAGGGAAAGCCGAUUUAAGACAAGAGUAAACAAGGUUUGAUGAUGAGUUCUUCGUCUUGUUCCUCUUAUGUUUCUUCUUGGCCAAGACAUUUGUUCUUAUGUACCCAAUAAGCUCUUGCCACAUGCUUGGUGGUUCCGGCGUAUUUAUCAGCCACCGUGACAUGGGCUCUUCUGCAGGACUGGCUUCUUCAUGGUGGCUCUGGUGAUUCUGAAGCUCUAUGCCCAUUUUUUUUUUUUUAUCUUUGUGGGUUAUUGAAGUGUGUGAUAGGGAACUAAGUUGCAUUCAGCUCUCUCUCUAGAUAUAUAUUAACUUUUUUGGUCAUAUAUAUCCAUAACUUAUACUUAAAAUUAGAAAGAAAGUAAGUAUAAUUCCAAACUUUGGCCCUAAAUUU